UGACUUUCUAGUGACUAGGACAAGGUCAGACAAGCACGUGUUCAGCUGUUAUGGCUGCUGACAGUGGCAGGCAUCUGACCUUAGUGACUAAGACAAGGUUAGACAAGCUGUUAUGGCUGCUGAAAUGGGAAGCUGAUCCCUUCAAGAUGUCUUAUGAAGAUAAAUGCCCUCCAGAGGAGGUUUUUUUUUAAAGAUUUACUUAUUUUAGUUCUUUUGUGUAUGAAUGUUUUUGCCUGCAUGUAUGUAAGUGUACCAUGUAUACCCUGGUACCCAGAUAGUUCCGAAAUGGGCAUCAUUUUCCAUGGAAAUGGCGUUAUGGAUGAUUUUGAACCACCAUGUAGGUGCUGGGAACUGAAGUCCUCUGAAAGAGCAGCCAUUGCUCUUAACUGCUGAGUCAUCUUUCCGGCCCGCUUCAGAGAAUUGUAAAUUUGACUGAAGAGGACUGGUGUACAUAUUUCCGAAAUCUGGGGUGGAGAUUGUGAGGUUCUACGCAACCAGCACCGGGCAUCAACACUAGGAUGUGGAAUUAAAC
This 532-nucleotide long non-coding RNA is filed under the name Cricetulus griseus (Chinese hamster). RNAcentral describes it as "lncRNA (ENSCGRG00015042782.1)". Lineage: Eukaryota; Metazoa; Chordata; Mammalia; Rodentia; Cricetidae. The record is from RNAcentral.